This 252-nucleotide ribosomal RNA is filed under the name uncultured bacterium. RNAcentral describes it as "partial 16S ribosomal RNA". It matches the Rfam family "Bacterial small subunit ribosomal RNA", at positions 524 to 776 of the family's 1533-position model. The record is from RNAcentral.
UACGUAGGGGGCAAGCGUUGUCCGGAAUUAUUGGGCGUAAAGCGCGCGCAGGCGGUUAUGUAAGUCUGGUGUUUAAACCCAAGGCUCAACCUUGGGUCGCAUUGGAAACUGCAUGGCUUGAGUGCAGAAGAGGAGAGUGGAAUUCCACGUGUAGCGGUGAAAUGCGUAGAUAUGUGGAGGAACACCAGUGGCGAAGGCGACUCUCUGGGCUGUAACUGACGCUGAGGCGCGAAAGCGUGGGGAGCAAACAGG